CUAUUGGUUCACUCUAAUACGUAAGCUGCUUUGAAAUGGUAGGGAGGGAAAGGACACAGGUGGCGCGCAACAAAUGGCAGUGGCUACGACACUCGUCUCUCUCUCUCUCUCUCUCAAAUUCCAAUCCCAAACCCUAAAACUCGCAUUUUUUCCCCUUUUGUCCCUCGAUGAUUUUCUCGUUCCCUUCUUCUGAUGCUAUGUGCCGAAAAUCUUAGCAUCUGCUGCAGAGAGUUAGGGUUUCUGGGACUGCUACUACUGCUGCAUUGCAUUCUUCUUUUUCCAAUUUCGAUGGUGGGUACUGGGUAGGAAGCAAAGUGUAGGAUAAUCUGUGGUAGAACGAAGGACUGUUUUUAUCUUUGGAUGUCGCUGAAUCGGAUAGUUCUGAUUUCUUAAAUAGCAAAUGGAUAUGCCUUGUGAGUCGUGACCCAAUUGAAUCAGGGUUGCUGUGAUUUCUACUGUCAAUUUAUUAUAUUUCUUAUCUGUAAUGCCAAGUUUGAUCGUGGAUAAAUGCUUGGAAGGUCUGUGAAGAAUAAUCUUGUCAGUACUAAAGACUGAAUUAUCUACUGUUUCAUCUCAGCAGUAGUUGGGCAAGGGGAUUUUUUAUUUCUUUGGUGGUUGCUGAACCGAUUUUAAGAUACCAUAUGACGCGGUAAUAGAAUGAGCUAUUGUUUUUGUCUUUGGUGGUGGAUGGAGAAUUUAGUUCUGAAAUAGCAAAUGAAUCUACUUACUAUCAAGUGGUUUAAUUACAUGGAAUUAGGGACUCUAUGACUGCUACUGUUGCUGCAUAUGUGAUUUUUUUGGUAUUGGAAUCGAGAUUGUUUGUGGAAUCUGCUAAGUAUCAAGGUGAAACUUUGUGGUUUGCAUCCAUUCGAGCUUGCUGUGUCCCUUAUGGCAAUCCAUCCAUAAACUUGAAUUAAUAAACUUAACAAUUGGUUUCUGUGUCAUCAUCAACGGGCACUUCUAUUGAUAAUAUUGCAAUAGUUACACUUGCUUUUGGUAUAAUCUCAGCUAUUGCUCUUUCAAGCUUUGGUAGAGAUGAUUUACAGGUCAAUCCCACCGUAUUGGGAUGCAACCCCAUCUGGUCUUGGUCAAUUGGAUCUUCAAUAUUAGCUUUUGCUGGAAUAGAAGCAGACUCCGGAUUCCAGGCAACAAUUGCGUUAGAAGAAUCACACUCCUUGUAUUGUUGUAUGUAGUACUGUACGCUCUUUACAAGCUCUCCGCCAUCAAUUUUGAUAAGGGGAAUUUCAUCAGGGUCCUCCUUCCAGAAGUCCUCAAUGUCACUUUCUAAUGCCUCUGUCCAUUGUUGUUCUGGUGUUGCUGGUUCUUCAAUGAUUGGCUCACACUGCACACGUUCAGGACUUGCUUCUCGGAUCAGGUUGUCCUCAGGGAGAGGUAGAAUUACUGGGUUCAUGUUGACAGAAGGGUUUCUCUCAGCUAUAAUGGGUACAGCCAUACUCACGAUCUGCUUCUCUUCCGGUCCAGGCAAGGCAAGUCGUGCACUGUACUAAAAGGAUUUUGUGGGGGUUAUGAUAUUACAAAGUUCUUUGAUCGAGUUUGCACAAUCUGGGCCAGAGAUACUUCUGAACUGACUCCAGCACUGGAUACCUACGUAGUACAGCAGUUAGCAGUUUCUAUCUGUGCUUUUUUGUUUUUUCUUUACUAGUUGGCAUAAGAUACUUACAGUUCAAGGAGGUGUAUUUGAAGUGUUUCAGGAAGUGGCUGGAGAGGGACCCAUCCAAGUCUAACUGCUAUCCUUCCAACAUUGGUGUCAACCUUCAAGAUAUGAGUCAUAGUAACAUGUUAUUCCAAUUGCAAGGCUUUUUAUGAUUUGCAUUGGCUAGAAAUCUGUGAUUGGAUUUCAAAUAAGUCAUACCGGGAAAGCAAGAUGAUGAAGUGUUAGAAGCCGUACACAUUCCACACUUUUUAAUCCCAAUCCCCAUAUGCUUAGCAGAUAGUCCCUGCAUUUGAUGUUGCACAUGGAAACAAUAUAUAGGAAGAACAUGAUCAAUUUCCAUUGUAUGCAGAUUCUUGCAGUCAGUGUCUGCUAUAUAGUAACUUCCAAGGAUUAACGACACUGGUGAAUGAUGAUACAAGAGUUUGGCUUACUUUGCUUUAUCGGGAGGAACAUGUCUUAACCAUUCAAGAUCAAUGCUUCCAUGUUCUUCAACCAGUCUGUUAAGGAAUGCCUGGGAUAUAAUAGAUGUCAUUUGUCAAAGCAUGUUUUAAUCAAAAUUCAGUAUUCUACAAACUUGAUUGGGUCAACAUACCUUGAUUCGCUCUGCUAGCAUGUUGUUCAUCCCUCGGAAUAUAAUAGCAUCAGAUAUCUCUUUAACCGAGGCACAUCUUAAUGCUUCAUAGUCCAGUGAAUCCAUUGUCUCUUGGCUUCUUUCUUUCUUUGUCUCGUUUUCCUGGACCUCCUUUCUUAGCAUGUCCCAGUCACCUGCAUGCUUUUUCUCAGUGUCAGAUUUCUUUUUCCUUGCUUUUGGAACCUGGAGUUUACUCUCUUUAUCUUUUGGGUCUAGAGAAUAAACUUGCUUCUGUGCCUUUGGUUCAGCCUGAUUAUUAUCUGAGCAAACUUGCCUGCUUUCUGCGGAUGUUUCACUGUCAAAGCCUACUUCUGCAUGCUUAGGAACAUUGAAGUAAUCAUUUAUUGCAUUUUCUUGCCCUCUGCCCAGUAUUUUUGAAGUAUUUAAUGAUUCUACAUGUUGCCUGCCUUCUGAUUGUAAUGCCUUUUGAUCCAGAAGAUGAUGGUUUGGUGAAAGUUGAUUAUAAGUUGUAUGAGAUCUAGAUUGAGAAGUAUCUUGUAAAAGGACUGAGUGCUUGCUUAUUGGUCCACAAGGGUUCAUUGUAGGUAACUCUGGACACCCAAUUGUCCCAUUUCCGUACUGCAUCUCAGUGGGUUUAUCCACACUAUCUACCACUUCCCAUAUGCCAAUUCUUCUAUAAUUGUUUUCUUGAAAUUUACUGUGUACCGAAACAGUUCCAGGGAAACACAACUCUUCACCAUUCAAUUGUUGUGUGUACGGGUAUUGGAGUUGAUAGUGAAUUGAAGGAGCUGCAGGUGGUUGCUUUUGGAGAUAACCAAAGCUGCUGGGAUGAUUGAAUGCUGAAUGGAGUCUGUGACUACUAUUUCUGCCUCCUAUUGAGCUUUGUUCCACAUGUUCUGCUUGUUGCAUCUUUCCAUCUUUGGUUCUCUCUUCAAACAGUGACACUCCAUUUACACUGUUGUAAAAUUCCUGGAACAUAGUGGUCUUUCCAACAUGUAAAGAAUUUGUUGAAGUAAAAAACUGAACCAUGCUGGGUUCACAUCUGCUGUUAAGUCCAUCUGAUUCCGAAUUGGAUCCUGAGGAUGUUAUUCUUUUGUCUUGAGUGAUUGAAGAAUCUAGAGAAUCUUGUGAUGAUAAGAACUCUUCCUCUAAGCUCUGAUGAUUUGGCUUCAUUAGACUCUCAUUUAUCCUUGUGGUUUCACUGUCUCUCCAAAGCUCUCUUGGAUGAUGAGGUGUCUCAAAGUCAAGAUAGUAGCUUAGUUGAUUUAAUGUUGCUCCUCCAUAUGAUAUUAUUCUGUCAUCAGCUGGAUUUACUAUUGAGAGUUCUGGUUGUUCAACUAAAGUGUCUAUGACAACAUCAUAUGAUCCCUUGCUUCUUUUUGGCUUCAGAGGAAACCUUGCUGCUAGAGACAUAAAGGCAGAGCUGCAAACAAGGAAAGAAACAUGAAAUUUUUGUAGAGCUGCACAUCAUCUUGUACUAGCAUUGGCAGUUUUAGUGAAGCAUCCUGACUGAGGAAAACACCUUUUAUUGAUAUAUACGCUUACCUUGAAAGGUGGUCUGAAACAUUCUGAGUGAGGAAAACUCCUACUACUGAGUCAACCACAGAUCCUUUCCACUUUGAAAAGCGUCUAUCUCCUGCAGAGUAGAGGGGAAGACAGGUUUAACAUCAGCAAGUAUUUGGCUUAAUGUUGGGGUAUGAUGUGUUGUACCUUGAACAAGAUGCAUCCGGGCAAUGAAUGAAUCAACUCGUCCACGAAAUACAUUUCUUUCCUCUUCCCACCACUUCUCCUUUUCCUUAUCAGUUUCUUCAAAGCCUUCACACCCUUCCUUGCCCAUCAACUGUUUCCACAUUCUCUCUGUUUCAGUGUCAAGGUCCACUUUUGCCCUUGGUUUUUUCUUAGCAAGUUCAGGUUCCUGGUAGGGUACCAUCGAACCAUCUCCUUUAUAUUGGACUAGUGCCUUUUGUCCUUCCCCAUCUCCUUUAUAUUGGACAAGUGCCUUUUGUCCUUCCACAUCUCCUUUAUAUGAGACAAGUGCCAUUUGUCCUUCCAUCUCGGAUGUGUUGCUUUCAUUGAGGUUGUGACCAUUAUUAUGUUGCCAAAAGAUUUCAUCUGUCAUGGUGGAAUAUACCUGGUGUUGUCUUCCUGAAAAUUAAGAAAUAGGCAAUUAUCAUUAUUUGUUUACUAAGAGAAGUACAUUUCCUUAUCAGACAUGCAUUACCUGGACUAGAAAAGCAAUCACCAUGUGAUUGUAAUCCAUUGUUGUCUUCUAUUGUUACUUUCUGUGAAUCAUCUUUAGACACUAUUUUUCUGGAAGACCUGCAGACUUUUUCCUGGAGUCUAUUUUCAGUUCUUUUCCUCUUAUUUUUCGAGAAACCUUUGGCAAGAAUUCCACCAUUACAGUGUCCAUCCGCUUGGUUCUCAGAGCUGUUGCAAUAUUUUCUCUUGGAACCCUGUUCUUGAAUGGAAUUGGAGAGAACAUUGAAACCCAACUGAAGGGUAUUCUGACAAAUCAGUUCCCCAGUCUUCUGAGAGUUUUCAAAACUUGUCUCUGAUUGAAAGAGAAAGUUGCCCAUUUCUUUUGCAUUAAUGUAUUGCUGCAUGCAUCCAUUAUUUCUUUCCUGGUGCAAAUCAGAAUUCCCUUGAGCUGGACCUUUCUCGGUGACUGGAGAUUUUACUAUCUGCUGUUCUUCUGACAAGAAAUGAUUAUUUACCCUUUCUUCUGAUGUAAUUUCUUUGGCCUUGCAGUCUGAAGUGGUAGUAGAAGCUUUUUCAUUUGUAUGAUGGAUCUCUUGCUGACUAACUAUUCUGCUCUGGCUCUCAAAUCUACUAUUUUCUAAGUCAAAAUUUAGAGCUUUCCUGCACGAUUUUCUAGUUGCAACAGUUGCAUCAGAAGAUUCUUCUAUAACAUCAGCACGUGGUGUUGCCGCACUUUUAGGGACAUUCUUCCUCUUCUUGUGUGGAGUCUUCUUAAUCUGGGUCUUUUGAGUUGCAGAGUUUGGUUUACUUUUAGGCUUGGCCUCUACAAUUACCUUUGGCCUAUGCUUUCUUCGUUUAGGUGCUUUGUGCUCAGGUGUCUUGUUCAGGUCAAAACCUUGGUCACUUCCCUGGUCACAUGCGUUGCUGGCAAAACCCUUUUGAUCCUCAUAUAUUGUAGAAAUUGCUGCAGAUGAUGAAUCUACAAUUUGCUGUAGAAGCCCAUUGCAGUAUUCCUGAAUUUCAUUCUCUGUAGAUGAAACCACGUCUUCUUGUUUGUCUUUCUCGUGACUUGUGCUUUCAGAUAAUGUGUAAGCGGGCCUCGUACAAAACUGAUUGUCCAAGAACUUGAGCUGAUCAAUUGUUUUUGGCAUUGAGUGGAGGGAAUUGGUGAAACCAUCAGUAGCAUCAGCUUCUGAUAUUGGCUCAUGGUUCAGAUUAUACUUAAGAAGAAAAGAAGUUACCCGGGGGUAUAUCAGAGAACAUGCCCUUCAGUUGGUUUGAAACUGUGCAGUGAAUGUCAUCGUUGAGCCAGCGGUCUGGGUUGCUAUCCAUGAUUUCAGAAUUCCAAGAUGGAAUCAGAAGUCCAUUUGCCUCUUUAUUCACAAUGCCUGAAGCUGAAUGGAUAUUGCUUUGUAUACCUGCAUAGUAGUCAUUCACCUCGCUGCUACCCAUAAGUUCAGAAUUCCAGGAUGGAAUCAGAAGUCUAUUUGCCUCUUUAUUCACAAUGCCUGAAGCUGAAUAGAUAUUGCUUUGCACACCUGCAUAUGAGUCAUUUACCUCGCUGCUGCCCAUAAGUUCAGAAUUCCAGGAUGGAAUCAGAAGUCUAUUUGCCUCUUUAUUCACAAUGCCUGAAGCUGAAUGGAUAUUGCUUUGUACACCUGCAUAGGAGCCAUUCACCUCGCUGCUACCCAUAAGUUCGGAAGUCCAAGAUGGAAUCAGAAGUCCAUUUGCCUCUUCAUUCAAAAUGCCUGAAGCUGAAUGGAUAUUGCUUUGUACACCGGUGUAGGAGUCAUUCACCUCGCUGCUACCCAUAAGUUCAGAAUUCCAGGAUGGAAUCAGAAGUCUAUUUGCCUCUUUAUUCAUAAUGCCUGAAGCUGAAUGGAUAUUGCUUUGUACACCUGCAUAGGAGCGAUUCACCUCGCUGCUACUGCCCUGAGGAUGAAAUUUUGGUAGCAGUGGACUUCUUGAUGCUAUGUUAUUGCUCGCAUCCUUAUUGAGCAGUAGUUCCAAGGUAUUACUGUUCAGUCCAUUGCUCUCAUAGUGCCGUGCCUGAUUGUAGGAGGCUGCAAUAUGGUUGAGAACACUGUUUCUAUCUGCUGUGUUGCCACAAAUAUUUUUGUGCUCUCCAAUUCGACCUGUUUGCCCCAUCAGAUGGAGAUUCUGAACUGGUCCAUGGUAAAGGGGCAGCAUCUCUUGCAUGUUAUCACGUCCAGGUGCAAUAUGGUUGAGAACACGGUUUCUAUCGGCUGUGUUGCCACCAAAUUUUUUGUGCUCUCCAAUUCGACCUGUUUGUCCCAUCAGAUGGGGAUUCUGAACUGGUCCAUGGUAAAGGGGCUGCAUUUCUUGCAUGUUAUCACUUCCAGGUGCAGUAUAGUUGAGAACACUGUUUCUAUCGGCUGUGUUGCCACCAAAAUAUCUGUGCUCUCCAAUUCGACCAGUAGGUCCCAUCAGAAGGAGAUUCUGAACUUGCCCAUUGUAAUGUGGCAGCAUCUCUUGAAUGUUGUCACUUCCAGGUACAGGAAAUUCUUGAUAAUUUAGCCUUCUUAUGUGGUUCACUGGCAAGUUUGAUUCUGGAUUAGGUCCAUAUAGAAUGAGCUUCUUAGGGGUGAUGGGUACCCAUGUAUUGUUCAUUUGAGAUUGCUUCUCAUCUUGACCCAAUAGUUGUUUACCGAAGUUCAUUAUUGAAAUCCUGCUAGCCAGAAAAGAUAUUACUUUUAUUAGCUUCCUUUCACUUACACUUGGUAUAUGUUGAAUCUAUAAUGGAGAAAAUGGAGAAUGUAUUAACAUGAUAGGUGUUAUAAAACAUCACCUUAAGAGACCUAUUUAUUCUA
Long non-coding RNA from Lotus japonicus, 7297 nucleotides. RefSeq lists it as uncharacterized. The transcript is spliced from 13 exons. NCBI's taxonomy places the organism in Eukaryota, Viridiplantae, Streptophyta, Magnoliopsida, Fabales, Fabaceae. The record is from RefSeq and is a predicted model, not a curated record.